RNAcentral lists this ribosomal RNA (292 nucleotides) under uncultured bacterium. Its description in RNAcentral is "partial 16S ribosomal RNA". The record is from RNAcentral.
GGACUACCAGGGUUUCUAAUCCUGUUUGCUCCCCACGCUUUCGCGCCUCAGCGUCAGUAACGGGCCAGUGAGUCGCCUUCGCCACUGGUGUUCUUCCGAAUAUCUACGAAUUUCACCUCUACACUCGGAGUUCCACUCACCUCUCCCGUACUCAAGAUGUCCAGUAUCGAAGGCAAUUCCGAGGUUGAGCCCCGGGCUUUCACCCCCGACUUAAACAUCCGCCUACGCGCCCUUUACGCCCAGUAAAUCCGAGCAACGCUAGCCCCCUUCGUAUUACCGCGGCUGCUGGCAC